AAAGACAUAGUUUAUAUCGCCCCAAAACAUUAAGUUGUCAACUUAAAAAAAUUAUCUUUA
Molecule: transfer RNA, 60 nt
Filed under: Trichuris muris
Lineage: Eukaryota; Metazoa; Nematoda; Enoplea; Trichinellida; Trichuridae
Description: tRNA TMUE_M000000014
Source: RNAcentral